RNAcentral lists this ribosomal RNA (447 nucleotides) under uncultured bacterium. Its description in RNAcentral is "bacterial SSU rRNA". It matches the Rfam family "Bacterial small subunit ribosomal RNA", at positions 330 to 794 of the family's 1533-position model. The record is from RNAcentral.
CCCAGACUCCUACGGGAGGCAGCAGUGGGGAAUAUUGCACAAUGGGGGGAACCCUGAUGCAGCGACGCCGCGUGGGUGAAGGAGUACUUCGGUACGUAAAGCCCUAUCAGCAGGAAAGAAAAUGACGGUACCUGACUAAGAAGCCCCGGCUAACUACGUGCCAGCAGCCGCGGUAAUACGUAGGGGGCAAGCGUUAUCCGGAUUUACUGGGUGUAAAGGGAGCGUAGACGGCAGUGCAAGUCCGGAGUGAAAGCCCGGGGCUCAACCCUGGGACUGCUCUGGAAACUGUAAAGCUGGAGUGCGGGAGGGGCAGGCGGAAUUCCUGGUGUAGCGGUGAAAUGCGUAGAUAUCAGGAGGAACACCGGCGGCGAAGGCGGCCUGCUGGACCGUAACUGACGUUGAGGCUCGAAAGCGUGGGGAGCAAACAGGAUUAGAUACCCUGGUAUU